Non-coding RNA from Cucurbita pepo subsp. pepo (vegetable marrow), 638 nucleotides. NCBI's taxonomy places the organism in Eukaryota, Viridiplantae, Streptophyta, Magnoliopsida, Cucurbitales, Cucurbitaceae. The record is from RefSeq and is a predicted model, not a curated record.
UCUCCAAAUGUCCAUUCUUCAGCCAAACAAUCCUCAGCCAACUGUCUGACGUUCUCGAUCACCUGCGACGAAGGAUAGAACCAGAAACAGAGAGGGAGGAUCGAAGAAAACUAUAAGGAGAGUCUAAAAUGAAACCCAGGACCCAAAACUGUCUUAACCGACGUCAAAAAGCUUGGUUAACACCAAGAGGAGGAUCCCCGACAACUGCACAUCAUCUUAGGCUCAAUUUCUACCAUUCUCAGCCUCCCGAACUUGUUUUCAGCUCAGCUCAGAUUAAGGUAUUUAUGGGGAGCAUGACACGAGGGGUUCGCCUGCAUACAACUUGUCUGAUGGAAUGCUGAUGAAGGGUCAGUGGGUUGUAGUUGAUGCAAUUGGCUUGCUUAAGGCUAGGUGGAAGAUUCUUCCGGAUUUGAAUGUGGGUAUAAGCCAUGCGCCACAGACCAUUGUUGCUUGCUGUGUGUUGCAUAAUUUGUGUCAAAUUGCUAAGGAGCCAGAGCCUGAACCAUUGAAGGACCCAAAUGAGACUGGCCCAAAUGGCCCAAGAGUCUGUGUGUUAUCAUGGUGAAAGUGUGAGGUAGGCACGCGUUGAUAAUUUGUAUUAGGCACGGGUUGAUAAUUUGUAUCAAAGGCUUCGAUCG